UCGAGAAUCUUCCGCAAUGGACGCAAGUCUGACGGAGCGACGCCGCGUGCGGGAUGAAGGCCUUCGGGUUGUAAACCGCUGUCAGUGGGGUGGAAAUCCUAUGGGGCAAUCUCCAUAGGUUGACCUAACCGCAGAGGAAGUCCGGGCUAAGUACGUGCCAGCAGCCGCGGUAAUACGUACCGGACGAACGUUAUUCGGAAUCACUGGGCUUAAAGAGUGCGUAGGCGGUCUAACAGGUGGGGUGUGAAAUCCCGCGGCUCAACCGCGGAACUGCGCUCCAAACCGUUAGGCUUGAGGGAGACAGGGGUGAGCGGAACUGAUGGUGGAGCGGUGAAAUGCGUUGAUAUCAUCAGGAACACCGGUGGCGAAGGCGGCUCACUGGGUCUCUUCUGACGCUGAGGCACGAAAGCUAGGGUAGCGAACGGGAUUAGAUACCCCCGUAGUCC
Molecule: ribosomal RNA, 446 nt
Filed under: uncultured prokaryote
Description: bacterial SSU rRNA
Rfam family: Bacterial small subunit ribosomal RNA
Source: RNAcentral